Molecule: ribosomal RNA, 417 nt
Filed under: uncultured Glomeromycotina
Lineage: Eukaryota; Fungi; Glomeromycota
Description: SSU rRNA
Rfam family: Eukaryotic small subunit ribosomal RNA
Source: RNAcentral
CACUGGUGUGAUGGAUUCCUACCUUCUGAAUAACCAGCAUGCCAUUAAUUUGGUGCGUUGGGGAAGCAGGACUGUUACCUUGAAAAAAUUAGAGUGCUUAAAGCAGGCUAGUGCCUGAAUACAUUAGCAUGGAAUAAUGAAAUAGGACGGCAUGGUUCUAUUUUGUUGGUUUCUAGGAUCACCGUAAUGAUUAAUAGGGAUAGUUGGGGGCAUUAGUAUUCAAUUGUCAGAGGUGAAAUUCUUGGAUUUAUUGAAGACUAACUUCUGCGAAAGCAUUUGCCAAGGAUGUUUUCAUUAAUCAAGAACGAAAGUUAGGGGAUCGAAGACGAUCAGAUACCGUCGUAGUCUUAACCAUAAACUAUGCCGACUAGGGAUCGGACGAUGUUAAUUUUUUAAUGACUCGUUCGGCGCCUUACG